Molecule: ribosomal RNA, 898 nt
Filed under: uncultured bacterium
Lineage: Bacteria
Description: bacterial SSU rRNA
Rfam family: Bacterial small subunit ribosomal RNA
Source: RNAcentral
ACGCUGGCGGCGUGCCUAAUACAUGCAAGUAGAACGCUGAAGGAGGAGCUUGCUUCUCUGGAUGAGUUGCGAACGGGUGAGUAACGCGUAGGUAACCUGCCUGGUAGCGGGGGAUAACUAUUGGAAACGAUAGCUAAUACCGCAUAACAGUAGAUGUUGCAUGACAUUUGCUUAAAAGGUGCAAUUGCAUCACUGCCAGAUGGACCUGCGUUGUAUUAGCUAGUUGGUGGGGUAACGGCUCACCAAGGCGACGAUACAUAGCCGACCUGAGAGGGUGAUCGGCCACACUGGGACUGAGACACGGCCCAGACUCCUACGGGAGGCAGCAGUAGGGAACCUUCGGCAAUGGACGGAAGUCUGACCGAGCAACGCCGCGUGAGUGAAGAAGGUUUUCGGAUCGUAAAGCUCUGUUGUAAGAGAAGAACAGGUGUGAGAGUGGAAAGUUCACACUGUGACGGUAUCUUACCAGAAAGGGACGGCUAACUACGUGCCAGCAGCCGCGGUAAUACGUAGGUCCCGAGCGUUGUCCGGAUUUAUUGGGCGUAAAGCGAGCGCAGGCGGUUAGAUAAGUCUGAAGUUAAAGGCUGUGGCUUAACCAUAGUACGCUUUGGAAACUGUUUAACUUGAGUGCAAGAGGGGAGAGUGGAAUUCCAUGUGUAGCGGUGAAAUGCGUAGAUAUAUGGAGGAACACCGGUGGCGAAAGCGGCUCUCUGGCUUGUAACUGACGCUGAGGCUCGAAAGCGUGGGGAGCAAACAGGAUUAGAUACCCCUGGUAGUCCACGCCGUAAACGAUGAGUGCUAGGUGUUAGACCCUUUCCGGGGUUUAGUGCCGCAGCUAACGCAUUAAGCACUCCGCCUGGGGAGUACGACCGCAAGGUUGAAACUCAAAGGAAUUGAC